RNAcentral lists this ribosomal RNA (254 nucleotides) under uncultured bacterium. Its description in RNAcentral is "partial 16S ribosomal RNA". It matches the Rfam family "Bacterial small subunit ribosomal RNA", at positions 524 to 776 of the family's 1533-position model. The record is from RNAcentral.
UACGGGGGGAGCAAGCGUUGUUCGGAUUUACUGGGCGUAAAGGGCGCGUAGGCGGUCAGCACAAGUCAGUUGUGAAAUCUCCGGGCUUAACUCGGAAAGGUCAACUGAUACUGUGCGACUAGAGUGCAGAAGGGGCAACUGGAAUUCUCGGUGUAGCGGUGAAAUGCGUAGAUAUCGAGAGGAACACCUGCGGCGAAGGCGGGUUGCUGGGCUGACACUGACGCUGAGGCGCGAAAGCCAGGGGAGCAAACGGG